RNAcentral lists this ribosomal RNA (397 nucleotides) under uncultured bacterium. RNAcentral's name for it is "bacterial SSU rRNA". It matches the Rfam family "Bacterial small subunit ribosomal RNA", at positions 362 to 776 of the family's 1533-position model. The record is from RNAcentral.
UAUUGGACAAUGGGCGAAAGCCUGAUCCAGCCAUGCCGCGUGAGUGAUGAAGGCCUUAGGGUUGUAAAGCUCUUUUGCCGGGGACGAUAAUGACGGUACCCGGAGAAUAAGUCCCGGCUAACUUCGUUCCAGCAGCCGCGGUAAUACGAAGGGGACUAGCGUUGUUCGGAAUCACUGGGCGUAAAGCGCACGUAGGCGGAUAUGUCAGUCAGGGGUGAAAUCCCGGGGCUCAACCUCGGAACUGCCCUUGAUACAGCAUAUCUUGAGUCCGAUAGAGGUGGGUGGAAUUCCUAGUGUAGAGGUGAAAUUCGUAGAUAUUAGGAAGAACACCGGUGGCGAAGGCGGCCCACUGGAUCGGUACUGACGCUGAGGUGCGAAAGCGCGGGGAGCAAACAGG